ACUCCUGCGGGAGGCAGCAGUAGGGAAUCUUCGGCAAUGGGGGCAACCCUGACCGAGCAACGCCGCGUGAGUGAAGAAGGUUUUCGGAUCGUAAAGCUCUGUUGUAAGUCAAGAACGAGUGUGAGAGUGGAAAGUUCACACUGUGACGGUAGCUUACCAGAAAGGGACGGCUAACUACGUGCCAGCAGCCGCGGUAAUACGUAGGUCCCGAGCGUUGUCCGGAUUUAUUGGGCGUAAAGCGGGCGCAGGCGGUUUGAUAAGUCUGAAGUUAAAGGCUGUGGCUCAACCAUAGUUCGCUUUGGAAACUGUCAAACUUGAGUGCAGAAGGGGAGAGUGGAAUUCCAUGUGUAGCGGUGAAAUGCGUAGAUAUAUGGAGGAACACCGGUGGCGAAAGCGGCUCACUGGUCUGUAACUGACGCUGAGGCUCGAAAGCGUGGGGAGCGAACAGGAUUAGAUACCCCGGUAGUCCCAUG
RNAcentral lists this ribosomal RNA (473 nucleotides) under uncultured organism. RNAcentral's name for it is "partial 16S ribosomal RNA". It matches the Rfam family "Bacterial small subunit ribosomal RNA", at positions 335 to 799 of the family's 1533-position model. The record is from RNAcentral.